This 491-nucleotide ribosomal RNA is filed under the name uncultured bacterium. Its description in RNAcentral is "partial 16S ribosomal RNA". It matches the Rfam family "Bacterial small subunit ribosomal RNA", at positions 29 to 506 of the family's 1533-position model. The record is from RNAcentral.
AGUGAACGCUGGCGGUAGGCCUAACACAUGCAAGUCGAACGGCAGCACAGUAAGAGCGUGCUCUUACGGGUGGCGAGUGGCGGACGGGUGAGGAAUACAUCGGAAUCUUCUUUUUCGUGGGGGACAACGUAGGGAAACUUACGAUAAUACCGCAUACGACCUACGGGUGAAAGCAGUGGUGCUUCGCACUUUGCGUGACUGUAAGAGCCGAUGUCGGAUUAGCUAGUUGGCGGGGUAAAGGCCCACCAGGGCGACGAUCCGUGGCUGGUCUGAGGGGAUGGUCGCCACCCCGGAACCUAGGACACGGUCCGACCUCCACGGGAGGCCAGCGGUGGGAACUUUUGGCCAAUGGGGGAAACCCUGCUCCGGCCAUACGGCGUGGGUGAAGAAGGCCUUCGAGUUGUAAAGCCCUUUUGUUGGGAAAGAAAAGUGGCAAGUUAAUUCCCCGCUGUUCGACCGUAACCCAACGAAUAAGCACCGGCAACCUUCUU